GUGGGGAAUAUUGGUCAAUGGACGAAAGUCUGAACCAGCCAAGUAGCGUGCAGGAUGACGGCCCUAUGGGUUGUAAACUGCUUUUAUACAGGGAUAAAGUGAGCCACGUGUGGCUUUUUGUAGGUACUGUAUGAAUAAGGACCGGCUAAUUCCGUGCCAGCAGCCGCGGUAAUACGGAAGGUCCGGGCGUUAUCCGGAUUUAUUGGGUUUAAAGGGAGCGCAGGCUGAUGAUUAAGCGUGACGUGAAAUGUAGCCGCUCAACGGCUGAACUGCGUCGCGAACUGGUUAUCUUGAGUGAGUUCGAUGUUGGCGGAAUUCGUGGUGUAGCGGUGAAAUGCUUAGAUAUCACGAAGAACUCCGAUUGCGAAGGCAGCCAACAAGGCCUUUACUGACGCUAAAGCUCGAAGGUGCGGGUAUCGAACAGG
This 425-nucleotide ribosomal RNA is filed under the name uncultured rumen bacterium. RNAcentral's name for it is "bacterial SSU rRNA". It matches the Rfam family "Bacterial small subunit ribosomal RNA", at positions 354 to 776 of the family's 1533-position model. The record is from RNAcentral.